Molecule: ribosomal RNA, 253 nt
Filed under: uncultured bacterium
Lineage: Bacteria
Description: partial 16S ribosomal RNA
Rfam family: Bacterial small subunit ribosomal RNA
Source: RNAcentral
UACGUAGGGACCAAGCGUUGUUCGGAUUUACUGGGCGUAAAGGGCGCGUAGGCGGCCCGGUAAGGUUGCGGUGAAAGCCCGGGGCUCAACCCCGGGUCGGCCGUGGCAACUGCUGGGCUGGAGCACAGUAGAGGCGGGUGGAAUUCCGGGUGUAGCGGUGGAAUGCGUAGAGAUCCGGAAGAACACCGGUGGCGAAGGCGGUCCGCUGGGCUGUUGCUGACGCUGAGGCGCGACAGCGUGGGGAGCAAACAGG